This 1358-nucleotide long non-coding RNA is filed under the name Triticum aestivum (bread wheat). RNAcentral's name for it is "long non-coding RNA (TAES_LNC017534)". Lineage: Eukaryota; Viridiplantae; Streptophyta; Magnoliopsida; Poales; Poaceae. The record is from RNAcentral.
AUUAGUGUUACUAAAUAAUUAUUCAAGAAUAUUAGUGUUACUAAAUAAUUAUUUCAGUUUUUUUGAAUUUUGGUCAAAUCUGGUCAAACUGUGAUCAAACAAUGGUCAAACUAAUCCUGGGUCGACAGGCCUCUUCUUUCCGCGCCUGCAUGCGGACGUGCAUAAGAGUACGUACGCACACAUGUAGCCACUAGUAGAAAACAUGCCUUUGGUUCGGCUAGAAAAGAGCAUUAAUCCCGGUUGCAUUACGAACCGAGACUAAUGUGAGCAUUAGUCCCGGUUCGAGCGGCUAGGGCACCGUACAGGCAUUAGUCCCGGUUGGUGCCACGAACCGGUACUAAAGGUUAGACCUUUAGUCCCGGUUCGAGCCACCAACCGGUACUACUGGGGUUUGAGGCAUUAGUACCGGUUCGUGGCACGAACCGGUACUAAAGGUCCCAUUUUCAAACUCUACCCCCCCGAUCGCCUUUUCAGUUUUGUAAAAAGCAAAAGAAAAUGAUAAAAACUUCAAAAAUUAAAAUCCUUCCAGAUGUAGUUAUGUUACUACAUGUACUAUUUAGGAAAAUUUAAAAACUUAAAUUUGGACAUGUUUUGCAAAAAGUGAGGAAAAAUGUAAAACGGCUAUAACUUUUGCAUACUAUGUCGGAAAAAAACGUAUAAUAUAUCAAAAUGUUCAGCCUGAAAAUCCGCAUCCGAUUUUGACAGCCUACAGCUUGUUUGCAAAUUUUUAGAAUCCUCAAAUUCUAAAAGGUAAAAAAGUUAUGCUCAAAUUUCUGUUUUUUUUUGAAUUUUUGUUAAAUCUGGUCAAACUAUGGUCAAACUACUUAUUCAAGAAGUAUUAGUGUUACUAAAUAAUUAUUCAAGAAUAUUAGUGUUACUAUAUAAUUAUUUCAGUUUUUUUGAAUUUUGGUCAAAUCUGGUCAAACUGUGAUCAAACAAUGGUCAAACUAAUUAUUCAAGAAAUAUUAGUGUUAUUAAAUAAUUAUUUCAGUUUUUUUGAAUUUUGGUCAAAUCUGGUCAAACUAUGGUCAAACUACUUAUUCAAGAAAUAUUAGUGUUACUAAAUAAUUAUUGUUUUUUAGAACAAUAGUUUCAAACUCAAACAGUGAAAUGAGUGACUUCAUGCUCAAGCUAAAUUCCUGAGGGUUAAUAGGAUUGACAUCUUACUAUUGUCAGGAAAACAACAAGUGCAGACUUGGAAACGAGGGAGAAUAUAACCCGGAAGUUAAGCGUGCUCAGGCUGGAGUAGUGAGAGGAUGGGUGACCGUCCGGGAAGCUAGAUGAUUUGGAAUGAUGAGGGAUGAUUAGAGAUUAGAGGUUAAAUUGAGCAGUGAUGAGGGGUGAUUAGAGAUUAGAGG